AGAGUUUGAUCCUGGCUCAGAUUGAACGCUGGCGGCAUGCCUUACACAUGCAAGUCGAACGGCAGCGCGGACUUCGGUCUGGCGGCGAGUGGCGAACGGGUGAGUAAUGCAUCGGAACGUACCUUUCAGUGGGGGAUAACGUAGCGAAAGUUACGCUAAUACCGCAUAUUCUGUGAGCAGGAAAGCAGGGGAUCGCAAGACCUUGCGCUGAUGGAGCGGCCGAUGUCAGAUUAGCUAGUUGGUGGGGUAAAGGCUCACCAAGGCGACGAUCUGUAGCGGGUCUUAGAGGAUGAUCCGCCACACUGGAACUGAGACACGGUCCAGACUCCUACGGGAGGCAGCAGUGGGGAAUUUUGGACAAUGGGCGCAAGCCUGAUCCAGCCAUGCCGCGUGAGUGAAGAAGGCCUUCGGGUUGUAAAGCUCUUUCGGCCGGGAAAAAAUCGCUUGGGUUAAUACCCUGAGUGGAUGAUGGUACCGGAAUAAGAAGCACCGGCUAACUACGUGCCAGCAGCCGCGGUAAUACGUAGGGUGCGAGCGUUAAUCGGAAUUACUGGGCGUAAAGCGUGCGCAGGCGGUUUUGUAAGACAGGCGUGAAAUCCCCGGGCUCAACCUGGGAACUGCGUUUGUGACUGCAAGGCUAGAGUAUGGCAGAGGGGGGUGGAAUUCCACGUGUAGCAGUGAAAUGCGUAGAGAUGUGGAGGAACACCAAUGGCGAAGGCAGCCCCCUGGGCCAAUACUGACGCUCAUGCACGAAAGCGUGGGGAGCAAACAGGAUUAGGUACCCUGGUAGUCCACGCCCUAAACGAUGUCAACUAGGUGUUGGGUGGGUAAAACCAUUUGGUACCGUAGCUAACGCGUGAAGUUGACCGCCUGGGGAGUACGGCCGCAAGGUUAAAACUCAAAGGAAUUGACGGGGACCCGCACAAGCGGUGGAUGAUGUGGAUUAAUUCGAUGCAACGCGAAAAACCUUACCUACCCUUGACAUGCCAGGAACUUGCCAGAGAUGGCUUGGUGCCCGAAAGGGAGCCUGGACACAGGUGCUGCAUGGCUGUCGUCAGCUCGUGUCGUGAGAUGUUGGGUUAAGUCCCGCAACGAGCGCAACCCUUGUCGUUAAUUGCCAUCAUUUAGUUGGGCACUUUAACGAGACUGCCGGUGACAAACCGGAGGAAGGUGGGGAUGACGUCAAGUCCUCAUGGCCCUUAUGGGUGGGGCUUCACACGUCAUACAAUGGUCGGUACAAAGGGUUGCCAAGCCGCGAGGCGGAGCCAAUCCCAGAGAGCCGAUCGUAGUCCGGAUCGCAGGCUGCAACUCGCCUGCGUGAAGUCGGAAUCGCUAGUAAUCGUGGAUCAGCAUGUCAC
This 1358-nucleotide ribosomal RNA is filed under the name metagenome. RNAcentral describes it as "bacterial SSU rRNA". It matches the Rfam family "Bacterial small subunit ribosomal RNA", at positions 8 to 1360 of the family's 1533-position model. The record is from RNAcentral.